This 655-nucleotide ribosomal RNA is filed under the name uncultured Staphylococcus sp. RNAcentral describes it as "bacterial SSU rRNA". It matches the Rfam family "Bacterial small subunit ribosomal RNA", at positions 75 to 715 of the family's 1533-position model. Lineage: Bacteria; Bacillati; Bacillota; Bacilli; Caryophanales; Staphylococcaceae. The record is from RNAcentral.
GGAGCUUGCUCCUCUGACGUUAGCGGCGGACGGGUGAGUAACACGUGGAUAACCUACCUAUAAGACUGGGAUAACUUCGGGAAACCGGAGCUAAUACCGGAUAAUAUAUUGAACCGCAUGGUUCAAUAGUGAAAGACGGUUUUGCUGUCACUUAUAGAUGGAUCCGCGCCGCAUUAGCUAGUUGGUAAGGUAACGGCUUACCAAGGCAACGAUGCGUAGCCGACCUGAGAGGGUGAUCGGCCACACUGGAACUGAGACACGGUCCAGACUCCUACGGGAGGCAGCAGUAGGGAAUCUUCCGCAAUGGGCGAAAGCCUGACGGAGCAACGCCGCGUGAGUGAUGAAGGUCUUCGGAUCGUAAAACUCUGUUACUAGGGAAGAACAAAUGUGUAAGUAACUAUGCACGUCUUGACGGUACCUAAUCAGAAAGCCACGGCUAACUACGUGCCAGCAGCCGCGGUAAUACGUAGGUGGCAAGCGUUAUCCGGAAUUAUUGGGCGUAAAGCGCGCGUAGGCGGUUUUUUAAGUCUGAUGUGAAAGCCCACGGCUCAACCGUGGAGGGUCAUUGGAAACUGGAAAACUUGAGUGCAGAAGAGGAAAGUGGAAUUCCAUGUGUAGCGGUGAAAUGCGCAGAGAUAUGGAGGAACACCAGUGG